GGAAGCACAAUAGCCGAUGUGUUGGUGUCUCCGAUGACGGGCCGGGUGAAAUCUCCCAUGUACUCCAUGUUCUGAGCCAUCUCUUCUUUGUUUGUGUUCUGCUCUACUCGGUCAGAGGCAGAGCCGGCUUUCUCCUUUGUGUUCUGCUCUGCACGGUCAGAGCUGGCUUCAGAGUGCGCCUCAGAAUCAGAGUCAGAGUAUAACACGUCUGCUCUGGUAUGUGUCCGAGUGUUAUCCAGCGGGGACGUUAGUUUUCUUUUCAGACUACGGCGUCCCUGCAUACACAACACUUAACACACGGAUUAAACGCACCGGGUGGGAGGAAAAGAAAAGUAAAAAUAAAAACGUAAAGUAAAGAAAACAAGAAAAACGGAAAGAAAAGUGACACAAUUAAACGCCUAAAACCUUCCCCGGCAACGGCGCC
This 424-nucleotide long non-coding RNA is filed under the name Salvia miltiorrhiza (redroot sage). Its description in RNAcentral is "long non-coding RNA (SMIL_LNC000987)". The record is from RNAcentral. Lineage: Eukaryota; Viridiplantae; Streptophyta; Magnoliopsida; Lamiales; Lamiaceae.